GAUGAACGCUGGCGGCGUGCCUAAUACAUGCAAGUCGAGCGAACAGACGAGGCGCUUGCUCCUCUGACGUUAGCGGCGGACGGGUGAGUAACACGUGGAUAACCUACCUAUAAGACUGGGAUAAUUUCGGGACACCGGAGCUAAUCCCGGAUAAUAUAUUGAACCGCAUGGUUCAAUAGUGAAAGUCGGUUUUGCUGUCACUUCUAGAUGGAUCCGCGCCGCAUUAGCUAGUUGGUAAGUUAACGGCUUACCAAGGCAACGAUGCGUAGCCGACGUGAGGGGGUGAUCGGCCACACGAGAACGUAGACACGGUCCAGACUCCUACGGGAGGCAGCAGUAGGGAAUCUUCCGCAAUGGGCGAAAGCUUGACGGAGCAACGCCGAGUGAGUGAUGGAGGUCUUCGGAUCGUAAAACUCUGUUAUUAGGGAAGAACAAAUUUGUAAGUAACUAUGCACGUCUUGACGGUACCUGAUCAGAAAGCCACGGCUAACUACGUG
RNAcentral lists this ribosomal RNA (497 nucleotides) under uncultured bacterium. RNAcentral describes it as "partial 16S ribosomal RNA". It matches the Rfam family "Bacterial small subunit ribosomal RNA", at positions 28 to 507 of the family's 1533-position model. The record is from RNAcentral.